UCGGAUGUGAAACUCUGGGGCUUAACCCCAGACCUGCAUUCGAUACGGGCGAGCUUGAGUAUGGUAGGGGAGUCUGGAAUUCCUGGUGUAGCGGUGGAAUGCGCAGAUAUCAGGAGGAACACCAAUGGCGAAGGCAGGACUCUGGGCCAUUACUGACACUGAGGAGCGAAAGCGUGGGGAGCGAACAGGAUUAGAUACCCUGGUAGUCCACGCCGUAAACGGUGGGCACUAGUUGUGGGGACCUUCCACGGUCUCUGCGACGCAGCUAACGCAUUAAGUGCCCCGCCUGGGGAGUACGAUCGCAAGAUUAAAACUCAAAGGAAUUGACGGGGCCCCGCACAAGCAGCGGAGCAUGCGGCUUAUUUCGACGCUACGCGAAGAACCUUACCAAGGCUUGACAUAUACAGGAAUAUGGCAGAGAUGUCAUAGCCGCAAGGUCUGUAUACAGGUGGUGCAUGGUUGUCGUCAGCUCGUGUCGUGAGAUGUUGGGUUAAGUCCCGCAACGAGCGCAACCCCUAUGUUUAGUUGCCAGCACGUAAUGGUGGGGACUCUAGACAGACUGCCUGCGCAAGCAGAGAGGAAGGAGGGGACGACGUCAAGUCAUCAUGGCCCUUACGCCCAGGGCGACACACGUGCUACAAUGGCGCAUACAGCGGGUCGCAAGCCGGUAACGGUAAGCCAACCUCUAAAAGUGCGUCUCAGUUCGGAUUGAGGUCUGCAACUCGACCUCAUGAAGCUGGAAUCGCUAGU
This 750-nucleotide ribosomal RNA is filed under the name uncultured bacterium. Its description in RNAcentral is "bacterial SSU rRNA". It matches the Rfam family "Bacterial small subunit ribosomal RNA", at positions 588 to 1339 of the family's 1533-position model. The record is from RNAcentral.